UCUCCUUCCUGCUGCCUUGUAAAGAAGAUGCAUUGUUUUCCUCUUCGCUUUCUGCCACAAUUGUAAGUUUCCUGAGGCCUCCCCAGCCAUGCUGAACUCCUUGUUAAGGACGUGCCUGCUUCUCCUUCGCCUUCCACCGUGAUUGUAAGUUUCCUGAGGCCUUCCCAGCAAUGCAGAACCGGCUCACCGGCAGCUGUUCUCCCCAUCCGUGUGCAGGGACGUCUCGGCCCGUCGAAGACCCAGGCGGGCAAAGGAGUGGUACAAGCCAGGUUUGGGCACCAUGUGAUAAGAUGACCUGCAGGUCUGGCCUUGGAUUUCUGCAGAGGUUUGUUGGGAAGGCAUCACUUAGGAGGCUGGAAGACCAUGAGAAAGUCUCACCUGGAAGCGGUGGAAGUCCUGCG
Pan troglodytes (chimpanzee) is the source of this 401-nucleotide long non-coding RNA. RefSeq lists it as uncharacterized. The record is from RefSeq and is a predicted model, not a curated record. The transcript has 4 exons. NCBI's taxonomy places the organism in Eukaryota, Metazoa, Chordata, Mammalia, Primates, Hominidae.